AUAAAAACAUCAACCAGUGAAUGAACACAUUGGGAAGUUCAGCGGUGUUUUAGUUUUUAACAUAACUUUUCAGUAUGCCAAAAGUCUUAAAGUGAACAUGACUUUUGGGCCCCAGCACCACUCCGAGUUUAUCCCAAAGAAAUCAGGGUUGUGAGCAAAAAUUUAUAGAUUUGGAAAAAAAUAUAAACUCAAGUGUCUAGCAAGAGUAUUAAGGAAUUAAUGAUAGAUACCUUUAUGUGAUGGAAUUCUAUGCAGCCGGCAUUGUAAGAGCAUUCGUCGGAGAACUUGACGUAUUUGUAAGUGGAAAAGGGAGAGUCCAAAUCAGAAUAUGCCUUUUAUUAAACCGAAGUAUUGUACUGAUACACAUAAAAAUUCAUUUUCUUUGUGUAUUUCACGUUUGAAAUCAUAUUUUACAUUUAUAUUAUAAAUUAUACAUAAUUUAAUAGUUGUGAACUACACUGUAUCCUUCCUUGUAUAUACACAUGGUUCUGAUCAUCGGAGGAUGGGGGCGAAGCUGUAUUACACAGAGCCAGUGCAUGAGACAGUGGUGGGGAUCUGGAUGCUGAGGACACAAACUGCAGACGCAUCCUCCGGCAUUCCAAGAGUUCACUUGUGUCUGUGUCUGAGGAGACCCGAAGACUUCCUGGGGUCACCAAACUGUGGAAUUCCCUCUUGUUAUCAGAAUGCAGCUUUAGAAGCCCUUGGCAGGGCAUAUAAGCACUGAGUGCACAGCAUAAAGUCUUGAGGAGAAUACAAAGCCCGAUGACGACUGGCGAGGCGAACACUCGGAGUCAGCCGGGAUGGCUCUACGCUCGGUGUCAGCACUGUUUGUGAAAACAGACUCUCUUACUAGUCUCUGCCACAAAAACUUGUUCUCAGAGUGAGGGAUGAAGUGAGAAGAGCCUCGCUCUGGAUCAUAUGCCAGUCUCUCGUAACGAAUAAAACAUUCCCUUGGGUCCCUGCUGGAAAACGGUGAAGGCAGAGGCAGAGAAGAGCGGCUGGCAGCCUGGGGAGGCGUCGGCUUCCGGAAGCACGGCGCCCCUCUCAUUACAGCCUAGGCUGUCCCACUGCUUCUCUUGCUCCCCUCUGUAGCCGGGAAUGCUGUUUUCCACCCGUGAGCAGACGCCUGUGAGGCCUCUGGGGCACCUGAGCCCCGGUUCACUGCUCCUUGGCCUGUCCGUAUUCUCUUUCUGUCUCACAAGACUCCCCGCAUCGCCUGCUACGUGCGUCUCCUCCAGAAGUUGUCACGUGUGCCCUGCAGCACACAGCCACGUCCCUCAGUACCUGCCUCUCUACCUUUAUCACCCACUCUGCCCCGGGACCUGGCCAGUCUUCCACUGGGUUCCGAUUCCAGCUCACUGCUUGUCCACCCUAUGCUGCCACAAACCAUUAGCCCCGCUCCUGUUAAUUGGGCAAAAUUCCAGUUUUAAAAAGGAAACAUGAGACAGUUAUUAAGGACCUCCACCUUCCCAUUAAAAGGUGACCAGCAGUCAGCAGACUGAGGCAUAAUUUGAAAGUGUUUACAAAAAUUGCGGAAAAAUGAAAUUGUGAUAAAUUUAAUGCUCAAGUA
This is a non-coding RNA of Heterocephalus glaber (naked mole-rat), 1570 nucleotides long. Lineage: Eukaryota; Metazoa; Chordata; Mammalia; Rodentia; Bathyergidae. The record is from RefSeq and is a predicted model, not a curated record.